AAUGAACGCUGGCGGCGUGCUUAACACAUGCAAGUCGAGCGAGGCCAGGGGGGCAACUCCCUGAGUCGAGCGGCGGACGGGUGAGUAACACGUGGGUAACCUACCCGGAAGUGGGGAAUA
RNAcentral lists this ribosomal RNA (120 nucleotides) under uncultured bacterium. RNAcentral's name for it is "partial 16S ribosomal RNA". It matches the Rfam family "Bacterial small subunit ribosomal RNA", at positions 29 to 145 of the family's 1533-position model. The record is from RNAcentral.